This 45-nucleotide non-coding RNA is filed under the name Schistosoma margrebowiei. The record is from RNAcentral. Lineage: Eukaryota; Metazoa; Platyhelminthes; Trematoda; Strigeidida; Schistosomatidae.
AUCCAGCUGACGGGUCCCGAAUAGGACGAAACGCGCAUCCUGGAU